ACACAUGCAAGUCGAACGAAGCUUGACGGAUGAUUUCUUCGGAAUGAAACCAGAUAUGACUUAGUGGCGGACGGGUGAGUAACACGUGAGCAACCUGCCUUUCAGAGGGGGAUAACGGCUGGAAACGGUCGCUAAUACCGCAUGAUGUGUUCGGAUGGCAUCAUUUGAACAUCAAAGAUUUAUCGCUGAAAGAUGGGCUCGCGUCUGAUUAGAUAGUUGGUGGGGUAACGGCCUACCAAGUCUACGAUCAGUAGCCGGACUGAGAGGUUGAACGGCCACAUUGGGACUGAGAUACGGCCCAGACUCCUACGGGAGGCAGCAGUGGGGAAUAUUGCACAAUGGGGGAAACCCUGAUGCAGCAACGCCGCGUGAAGGAUGACGGUUUUCGGAUUGUAAACUUCCUUUCUUAGUGACGAAGACAGUGACGGUAGCUAAGGAAUAAGCAUCGGCUAACUACGUGCCAGCAGCCGCGGUAAUACGUAGGAUGCAAGCGUUAUCCGGAUUUACUGGGUGUAAAGGGAGCGCAGGCGGGACUGCAAGUUGGAUGUGAAAUACCGUGGCUUAACCACGGAACUGCAUCCAAAACUGUAGUUCUUGAGUGAAGUAGAGGCAAGCGGAAUUCCGAGUGUAGCGGUGAAAUGCGUAGAUAUUCGGAGGAACACCAGUGGCGAAGGCGGCUUGCUGGGCUUUAACUGACGCUGAGGCUCGAAAGUGUGGGGAGCAAACAGGAUUAGAUACCCUGGUAGUCCACACUGUAAACGAUGAUAGCUAGG
This 773-nucleotide ribosomal RNA is filed under the name uncultured bacterium. RNAcentral describes it as "bacterial SSU rRNA". It matches the Rfam family "Bacterial small subunit ribosomal RNA", at positions 51 to 820 of the family's 1533-position model. The record is from RNAcentral.